Molecule: long non-coding RNA, 1370 nt
Filed under: Monodelphis domestica (gray short-tailed opossum)
Lineage: Eukaryota; Metazoa; Chordata; Mammalia; Didelphimorphia; Didelphidae
Description: lncRNA (ENSMODG00000045762.1)
Source: RNAcentral
UUCUGAACUAUUCUCCUUUGGGGAUUUCCUGCCUCUUGGAUACCCUUAAGAGAAAAUAGUGUUACUCUAGUGGUUGCUCUCUGUCCCAGGCUUAGUAUAGUAUAAAAUAGAGUAUGAAAAGGGAUUAAGGGGAGGAGUUUCUGGUGGUAAUUGGUUGGCUUUCAAGAGACUUUCAGUUUAUCCUGGGUAGAAUGAUUAUGAUAUCAGAGUUGGUUAGCCAAUCAAAGCUCCUAGUCACAGUCCUUGGUGACUAAAAUACAACAGUGAGAAACUCCAGCCUGGGUUAUGUAGCCCUGAGAGAAGAGUUUCCUCUGGGUGGCAGUGGUAAUUUUCCAUCUGUUUUAAAAUGAUAUUCCAAAUUGUUCAAGAGGAUGAAGGAAACAGUUUUCCCUUUAUGGCUUUAAUUCUAUUAUAUUUUUCAAAAUUCCCCCUCCUCAUAUCUCUUCCCCUCCCCCAUUGAGCUAUGUUAUUGAAAAAGCAAAUUUGAUGGAAGGGGUUAGGAGGCAGUGGUUAGAAUUAGCAUAUCAAACACACCCAAUAACCAGAAUGGAAAUUAGUGGAAUCUAGGCUUUACUGCUCUGAUGGCUGCACUAAAUUGAGGUUAAUGUCACCCCAUCAGUCCUUUCUGGAUUAAACAAAGAAUGGAGUCACAGAGAAGGGUUGUUGGAGAAAAGGAUGGAACUGGACCUGUGACAUUCGUCUGAGGACCUCCUUUACAGAGGCAUAAGAAAGUUUCUGAGAGUUCUGAAAAUACUUAAGGAUUUUCCAUUGCCUAUAUCAGACCCACCCUCUUCAUUGUCCUUCAUGAGACUGAACUCAAUAUUAAGCCCAGUAGAGGUUUUCAUGGAUGAAAAGGAGAUGACAACAUACCAGGCUUCAUCAGUUAUUUCCACCUCAGUGGACAUCAAGUUGAAAAAGGAUAAAGAAUGGAGAAAGAAAGAAGAAAGGAGAAUGGACUAGAUACUAUCUGAAGAACCUGGUGCUAGAUCUAUGAUUGGAAGACCUGAAGCCUAGUGCUGACAGCCAAUUCCUGAGAAACUAUCCUCGUCCUAUUAAAUCCUAGCUAUUAGAAUUUCACUUUGCUAACUAGUAUGUCUAUAAGCAUUUCUUAAGUUUUUUACUUGAUGCUAGUCAUGCUGCUAAGGGCUGGAAUACAGAAAGGCAAAAACAAUGUGUCCCCAAGGAGCUCACAUUUUAAUGGGUGAGAUAACAUGAGAAAAAAUUUACACACAAGAUACAUGCAAAUGUAUAUGUGGGCAUACCUAUGUAUAUACACAUGCAUACAUAUGUGGAUGUCAUAUUUAUUUUUAGUAAAUAGGAAGUAAUUUUAGAGGGGAAAUACAUAGUAGAAGGAUGGAGAAAGGCCUGCA